GAUGAACGCUAGCGGCAGGCCUAACACAUGCAAGUCGAGGGGCAGCACAGAAACAGCAAUGUUUUGGUGGCGACCGGCGGACGGGUGCGUAACGCGUAUGCAACCUACCUUUAACAGGGGGAUAACGGAGAGAAAUUUCCACUAAUACCCCAUAACAUCGAUCAAGGCAUCUUGAUUGGUCGAAAACUCCGGUGGUUAAAGAUGGGCAUGCGUUGUAUUAGGUAGUUGGGGAGGUAAUGGCUCACCAAGCCUACGAUACAUAGGGGGACGGAGAGGUGAGCCCCCCACACUGGUACUGAGACACGGACCAGCCUCCUACGGGAGGCAGCAGUGAGGAAUAUUGGUCAAUGGGGGCAACCCUGAACCAGCCAUGCCGCGUGCAGGAAGACGGCUCUAUGAGUUGUAAACUGCUUUUAAACAGGGAUAAAGCACAGUAUGUAUACUGUGUUGAAGGUACUGUAAGAAUAAGGAUCGGCUAACUCCGUGCCAGCCGCCGCCGUAA
RNAcentral lists this ribosomal RNA (502 nucleotides) under uncultured bacterium. RNAcentral's name for it is "partial 16S ribosomal RNA". It matches the Rfam family "Bacterial small subunit ribosomal RNA", at positions 28 to 523 of the family's 1533-position model. The record is from RNAcentral.